RNAcentral lists this non-coding RNA (29 nucleotides) under Homo sapiens (human). The record is from RNAcentral. Lineage: Eukaryota; Metazoa; Chordata; Mammalia; Primates; Hominidae.
UCUGUGAUUCGCAGGUGGAGCCAAUGACU